CCUACGGGAGGCAGCAGUGGGGAAUAUUGGACAAUGGGCGAAAGCCUGAUCCAGCAAUGCCGCGUGAGUGAUGAAGGCCUUAGGGUUGUAAAGCUCUUUUACCCGGGAUGAUAAUGACAGUACCGGGAGAAUAAGCUCCGGCUAACUCCGUGCCAGCAGCCGCGGUAAUACGGAGGGAGCUAGCGUUGUUCGGAAUUACUGGGCGUAAAGCGCACGUAGGCGGCUUUGUAAGUUAGAGGUGAAAGCCUGGAGCUCAACUCCAGAAUUGCCUUUAAGACUGCAUCGCUUGAAUCCAGGAGAGGUGAGUGGAAUUCCGAGUGUAGAGGUGAAAUUCGUAGAUAUUCGGAAGAACACCAGUGGCGAAGGCGGCUCACUGGACUGGUAUUGACGCUGAGGUGCGAAAGUCGUGGGGAGCAAACAGGAUUAGAUACCCUGGUAGUCCACGCCGUAAACGAUGAUAACUAGCUGUCAGGGUUCUUAGAACUUUGGUGGCGCAGCUAACGCAUUAAGUUAUCCGCCUGGGGAGUACGGUCGCAAGAUUAAAACUCAAAAGGAAUUAGACGG
This 564-nucleotide ribosomal RNA is filed under the name uncultured bacterium. Its description in RNAcentral is "bacterial SSU rRNA". It matches the Rfam family "Bacterial small subunit ribosomal RNA", at positions 338 to 916 of the family's 1533-position model. The record is from RNAcentral.